CUGGUAAUAAAUUAGUCCCUACCUACCCUCGAAGCAUGACUUCUCUCUCUUGGCAGCUUACCCAGUCAGCAGCUUGUUUCCGGAGCAAGCCAUGAUGAAAGAAAAUGAAGAACAACUUAUUUUGUGUAUGGCAAGUGGGUUCUACCCCACAAACAUUACUGUAACAUGGAAAAAGUGGACCCAGAAGGAUCCCCAGUAUGUGGAGUUUUCUGAGGGCGUCUUCACUAAUUGUACCACCAAAAAUGAGGAUGGCAUGUUUAAUGUCACUAGCUUCUUGAUGCUAAAGCCCUCUCUGGAAGACAAUAUGACCAUCUACCAGUGUGUGGUAUGGCACAAAUCCUUGCCUACCUCCCAGAGGCUCAACUUCACCUUGACUAUGAUAGUUCCGGAGGCUGAACGUUUGUGAUCAUUGCGCCAGCAUGGUUGGGAUCUCAGAAGUCAGCUUAUACUCUGAAGUACGUUUUUCUCUGUGCUGGAAUAAUCUUAGUAAUUGUACUGAUUUUAUCUAUUUUUUGGAAACAGGUACUACAUCAAACAAAUACCUUAUUCUCCAUCUUGAAAGCUUAUUCUCGGAACACCCAAAUUGACACGAGAGAGUAAACAACUAUAAUGAGGUGCUUUCAUUAUGAUGCAUUCAUGGCUUAUUCUGAUGGGGGAACCACUAGAAGAACAUUGGAAGUUCUUACACAGAAACAGCAGAAACACCAAGGUUUCUCAGUGAAUGCAUCUGUAACUGAAAUUACUUUUCCUGGUGGCUUAGAUAGCUUGCUCAAGAGCAGACUGUUCAAGGUGCCUUCCUUGAUAGCCUCCUGCCAAUCAGCUUAUCCAAGAAAAAGAGAGCAACACUUUCCAAAGAAGACAUACUACAGAUGGCCAAAAGACACAUGAAAAAGGUGCUCGA
Non-coding RNA from Leptonychotes weddellii (Weddell seal), 901 nucleotides. Lineage: Eukaryota; Metazoa; Chordata; Mammalia; Carnivora; Phocidae. The record is from RefSeq and is a predicted model, not a curated record.